UAAUCUUUGUGUACUUUGUAAAUUGUGUA
This 29-nucleotide non-coding RNA is filed under the name Mus musculus (house mouse). Lineage: Eukaryota; Metazoa; Chordata; Mammalia; Rodentia; Muridae. The record is from RNAcentral.